UCUUUAUAUUGUAUGUAUAUGAGCAAGUACUUGUUUUGUGUGAUUUAUAUAUUUGUGUUGUUGUAUAUUUAUAUAAUGCAGGUUCUGGAAGCAAAAGAUGUUUAUAAAGAUAAAGAAAAGCAUACUUGUCUACACCCAAGAUGAUUUGGAUGUGUUAAGGAAGGAGUGGGCAAAGUUCAUCAUCAGCAAAUACCUAUAGGGUGCAUAAUCUGGUCUAUUUUGGUGAACUUGGUGCUUUCUAUAUAUAUGUGGUAGUAAUUUGUUUUUGAACUUGGAGUUUCUAUAUAUUCGGAACAGCUAUAUGGUAGUACGUACUUUGUGCAUUUCUCAUGUUGGAAUGCUUUUGGACAUGUAAGAUUAUCUAGGAGCUUAGCUAGUUGCUUGUUUUUAGUUUAUUAUUCAGCUGUAAUAUUGUUUGUGGAAGCUUGAAUGAUAUAUAUGGAAGCUGAAAUGCAAUGUUUUAUGGUAUCAGUCAAUUUGUGCAACAGUUUCUUUUGUGAUGCUUGUGUGUGUAAAACUUGGACAACAAAGUCUGUCCACAUGAAAAUGCAACUGUUGUAUGAUUCUCAUCAAACAAGAAAGCAGAAUGCUAUAUCUAUUAUGUGAUACAACAGUCCAAAUAUAUCAGUUGUAGGUUAUUCAACGUCACACAACAGUAAAGAUAGGGAAUAAACCGUUGUAGCUUACUGAAAAAUACACAACGAUAGAAAUGAAAACCAACAGUUGUCUGAAAAGGUAAAAAUACAACGAAAAUGUUUUAUUGUUUGUUGUCUAAGUGGACUUGUCGAUGCCGCGCAUGGCAUCGAUCUGCGCAGCGACUUAUACAACGAAAGUAUUGAACUGUUGAGAAAAAUGUGAUCACACAACGGUGAUUUCCACACUUAUCUGAAGAUUCAAUCAGACAAGCCCGAGAUAUACAACGGAAAACCUAUAGUCACACAACGGUGUUCCAACAGAAGUAUGAGCAUUACGAUAGAGGGCAAGACAAGGGCAAACAACAUGACACCUCCCGGGAUAACAACCAGGGAUGUGGUUCAGACCGUCGCCAUAGUGGGCAGCGGGGACGGGACCAUCCUUAUCGGUCCCAAGAGCAGAGCCCCCAGCAGCAACAACGUCGCUCCUCCCCGUCACCCCGUUAUGAGGUCCACACUACCCUGACCACUACAUAUGAAGAUAUAUGGGCCAAGCAUAAAGACCUCAUGACACGACCCACCCCAAAUUUCAUCCUGAAACCCAGAGUAAGUCGUGCGGGGACCACCUCCAAGGAAAAUUUACCGAAAAAUCGGCUUAACCUCCCUUGAAAAUGGACUACCCUUCCUAAUAAUACCUGCAAACACUUUUGAAAAUUUAAAUCCAACCUUAAACUCCUGGAGCCUCCGUGCUCCCCAAAUCACAACACCACCCAAAUUAUUUACUAAUCUAAACAAAUCUCAUAUCCAACCAUUUAUAGGUUUAGAGCAACUCUAACAGGAAGAAAGGAAACAUAAUAAAUUAACAAACGGAAGCUAUAUGAUGACUAUGCCUCAUCCCCAUGUACGCCCGACCUCAACUAUGCAAUCCUGCAAACUGGGCAUUUUUAAAACGAAGAGCCCAAGGGAAAACAUUUGAAACAAGUUAGAGUGAGUGGACAAAAAUAAAUUAACGAAUAAAAUAUUUAUGUUUCCCUAAAUCAAUUUCCAAGGAAAAUCGAAUGCAUGCUGCAAGCGAUAAAACUUUUAUCUCAUAAAUGUCGAGCCUCUCAGGCUUUAUAAUAUAUGUAUGUAUUUACACACGUCCAUACUCCCUAUAUAAAUUCAUGGGUCUAUAUAGGGCUACUACGCUCGCGUCCAACGCUCACGUCACGUCUUAAUGCGGUGCUACACUACGCCAUUAAGGUGGACAGACGGGUGUAUAAAUAUGUGCCCAUACCCCCUAUAUGAAUUAAACACUCAUAUAGGGCUACUACACUCACGUCCAACGCUCACGUCACACCAUAAUGCGGCUAUAUGCUACGCCAUUAAGGUGGACAGACACAUAUGGCUAGCUAGCAUUUAUAUACAUACUCUCUCAUAAAUACAUAUUUAUAUCCACCGAAAAUCCCAUUUGCUCCUCGGCGGACGGCGGCGGGAGGACGGCCGGAAAAUUGGGCAGCGGGAGGAGCUCGGGGAGAGAGAAAACCGGGAAGAAAAAAAAAAAAGAGAAGGGAGAAAAUGGCUUUGGGCCUCCUCCCCCCAAACCGGUCCAACUUAAUACCCAUUUGAAAACAAACCCAACUCCAAAAAUAAAACACCCCGAAAAUAAUACCCGAAUAAAAAUUACCUUUUACUAGCUAAAAUUUACUAUUUUUACCGUUGUCAUAUUUUCUCCCACGAAUAAUUCCCCGAAAUUAAUCGUCUCUCAAAACACCUCUAGGGACCGAUUAAACUAUUACCUCAAUGAAGGAGACAGUAAAAUUCUUAUUAUAACCAAGCUAGUAAAUAAGGUAAAAAUUUAAGGGUCGGGAUGUGACAAUUCUCCCCUCCUUAUAAAAAUUUCGUCCUCGAAAUUUACAUACCUGACAAUCAAAAAGAUAGGGAUACUGCUGCCUCAUUUGCUCCUCUGAUUCCCAAGUAGCUUCCCCUACUUGAUGACUCCUCCACAGAACUUUAACAAGAGGAAAAAGAUUUGCAUCUAGCACUUGCUCCUUUAGGUCGAGAAUCUGAACCGGCUCCUCAUCAUAGGCCAAAACUUUUUUCCCAAUUAAUCGACUGCUCUCGCAACACAUGAGAGAGAUCGGCAAUAAACUUGCGAAGCAUGGAUACAUGAAACACAUUAUGUAUCCUGGAUAACUCUAGAGGCAAAACUAACUGAAACACAAGAGAGCCAACUUGAUCUAAAAACCCAUAAGGACCAAUAAAUCUCGGACCAAGCUUUUCACGUUACCAAAACGUACCACCCCUUUCCAAGGGGAUAAUUUCGAAAAACACUCAAACACUCACUUGAAACUCAUGGUCCUUCCUGCGGACAUCUUUAUAACUCUUCUGGCUACUAAGAGCUGCUUUGAGUCUAUCUCUGACUCUUUUAACCUUUUCAUUUCUCAAAGACUCUAAAUCCUUCGUUGAACUAUCACUAACGUUUGCACGUAAGUGAGUUCAGUGAUACCUGCUCCAGAGUACGAGUACCUGUAGGUAUGCACACUCUUUCCUGAGCAAUGGAAAUAGCUAACCCAAAUAAAACGCAUAAAUUUGCUAUCACCAUCGGGCUCAAAUCUCCUAACAUCACGCAACAACCUCGUCAUUACGUUGCUCACAGCUCGACAAUGAAGCCCACUUGCUAGGAAACUAAAAUUCACACAUUCCCACAUGCUCAUAGGGGUCAAAAUUAAGACCCGAUAAUUGAACAGAUUUUUAAGGAUGCACACACUACAACAAUCACUCCUAUUUCUGAGACACCUCGCAGAGUCUUUCGCGGAGCCAAAGCUCUCGCAAGUCCACAAGAUAACCUUGCUCUACCUAAAUGACCAGUCCACCAACAUAUGAUAACCUCGAUUGCCUAAAUAACAUUAUGAAAAGAUCAAUACCACGACACUUAGAUCUCUCCACCAAAACUAUUACAUUACCAUUUUAUGCACCACAAACUAGCAACUUAUGGGAAUUUCCAACUCUCUCCUGAUUCUGCUAUCUCCACUAUUAUUUACCACAAACCAGAAGAUAAUCUGAAGCAUGACUAACAUGUGGAAACUGGAUAUUCCUCCUUGCUCGCCAUAAACAAAAAACUAAUUAAUGCCCACGAAGAUUGGCACAGUCAAUUCAUGAUGCCAAACUUGACGUUGAAAUCCACAUAAAUAGAACACCUUCCUUAAGCAUUGACAAAAAUUUACAUCUCCAGCCAUGCUACUUAUUCGGGUGCAACUACGACCCCAAGAGCAGUAAUUAAAAGCACACGGCUCACGCUAGCCGUUCCAUAAGAAUGAUUCUAAAUACCAAAACCUUUGAAUCCGACAAAUACAUUUCCUUUUUUUUUUUUUUUUUUUUUUUAAUUUUACCUUUUACCUCUAACAACAAUAAAUCUGAUAGCAGAAAACAAUCUGAAAAUCAGAUAUGCUCAAGUCUCCUCCACAUCCUAGGGCCACGACUUCCCACCAAAAAGAUUCUUCGAAAACCGAGCUUGCAAUAACAUGCGACUAACAAAAGCAAAGAAAAAUUUUUAUACAAGACCCACUACUACACCUUGUGGUUCACCAACUAACGAAAACCAUGAAUUCAAGCAAGAAUCAAAACUCAUGGCUUAACUCAGCUCAAGCUCCAAAAGAAAUAAUUUAAAGCACACGAAAAGCAAGUCCUCUAACUUCGAGCUCAAAAGCUCCACAGAUCUCCGAUAUCCGCCAGAACCCGCUUCGAAAUCACACUAGAAACCUCCACUAAUCAUCCUGACACCAACAGAUAAACGCACAACCAAAAAGCAAAGACCUCCCAAACAAAAACUUGGAUCAAUGAGUGGUCCCACCACAAAACGAUCCUGAGAAGAGACGUUGAUCAACCUAUCAAUAAAUCUACUAUUCGCCAUAAUAAUCUCUUAAUAAACCUUGACUCGAAAAUCUUCUUGAGUCAACAGGGGAAAACCUUCUCCCAUAAUGCUACAUCAUGAAAUAUACCUACAAUAGAGACCAAAAUCAUCAGAAAACUUACUAUUCAUCAACUACUAACAUCCAUCAUUUCAAAAUAUAUUACCACUACCAUCUGGAUAAAAUGCUCUAAGGAUAGAAACAUAUCCAUAAUUAGCACUGCAGAAACCAGAACAUAUACCGCCAUAACCAAAAUUAUCCCAACAUGUUCCCAAUUGAUUUAUGUUGCGGAUAAAAUUGUCGGCAAAAUAGCCUUCAAUCAAGACUUAUCUAAAUUCACAUUUAGCUCUUUAUGCAGCAAUACCUUACCACCCAAUCACUAGCCACAAAUUUCCUAAAACCUUGAUUAACCCAAGACUAGGGUCCUCAACAACUCAUAUAGGUACCCCUUUGAAUUACCAUUGGAUACCUCACCUCAUCAUUUCAACUAACUUUUUCAUCAAUAGAAUACACCACUAUUUCGAACUUUCCUUUCAACUCAACUCUCUUAGAAGUCACGUAACUCAAUACCAAAAUCUCCCAUCAAUCAAUUUUUGACUCCAAUCUUGCCCACUAAAAAAAUGGACAACUCCAAGGCAUUAAUCAUCAACAUUUCACCCAACAUAUUUGCAGAAGAUGCUCACCUUAGCAUCUUAAUCUGAAACCUUAAUCUUAAUUAACCCAAUCAAUCAUUGGAUACCUGAAAGGAAUGCUAACAAGCUUUUUCGUUCCCCACUCGCAAAACAACUCCAACAAUUAAUAUCAAAGAUAUUAAAUUAAUGAACUUUGGAAUAGGUGCAAACUAUACACCUUUUCAAAACUCGAAGGAUGAACACUCAAGAGGUCAGCGUACUAAGGCAUAGUUUUAGAGAUGUAGACAUUUAUGGCACACUACUGUCCAUAAAUAAAAGAAGAACAACUACAUCACAACCCUAAUCAACACAUAGUGUCUUAAGCAUAUAAUGCUAAUAGAUCCGCCGCGGUUGGACAAUCACUCUAUAGACACUAAGUGCGACCAAGAAUAUAAGGUAGUACUAAAAAAAGAAAGGAAACGAAUAACCUAGUGCUCUGAUACCAACUGACACGACCCACCCCAAAUUUCACCCUGAAACCCAGAGUAAGUCGUGCGGGGACCACCUCCAAGGAAAAUUUACUGAAAAAUCGGCAUAACCUCCCUUGAAAAUGGACAACCCUUCCUAAUAAUACCUGCAAACACUUUUGAAAAUUUAAAUCCAACCUUAAACUCCUGGAGCCUCCGUGCUCCCCAAAUCACAACACCACCCAAAUUAUUUACUAAUCUAAACAAAUCUCAUAUCCAACCAUUUAUAGGUUCAGAGCAACUCUAACAGGAAGAAAGGAAACAUAAUAAAUUAACAAGCGGAAGCUAUAUGAUGACUAUGCCUCAUCCCCAUGUACGCCCGACCUCAACUAUGCAAUCCUGCAAACUGGGCAUUUUUAAAACGAAGAGCCCAGGGGAAAACAUUUGAAACACAUUAGAGUGAGUGGACAAAAAUAAAUUAACGAAUAAAAUAUUUAUGUUUCCCCAAAUCAAUUUCCAAGGAAAAUCGAAUGCAUGCUGCAAGCGAUAAAACUUUUAUCUCAUAAAUGUCGAGCCUCUCAGGCUUUAUAAUAUAUGUAUGUAUUUACACACGUCCAUACUCCCUAUAUAAAUUCAUGGGUCUAUAUAGGGCUACUACGCUCGCGUCCAACGCUCACGUCACGCCUUAAUGCGGUGCUACACUACGCCAUAAGGUGGACAGACGGGUGUAUAAAUAUGUGCCUAUACCCCUUAUAUGAAUUAAACACUCAUAUAGGGCUACUACGCUCGCGUCCAACGCUCACGUCACAUCAUAAUGCGGCUAUAUGCUACGCCAUUAAGGUGGACAGACACAUAGGGCUAGCUAGCUUUUAUAUACAUACUCUCUCAUAAAUACAUAUUUAUAUCCACCGAAAAUCCCAUUUUCGGUAACUCUCCAAGAGAAAUAAAAAUCGUCAAAAUUAAAAUGACGUCAAAAUGUUCCACAACAUUAAUUGUUCAUCUAUGAACUAUAGCAUGCAUUUUAUUUAAAACAAAAGUCCACUCACAACUCUAGGCAUAAGCCCGACGAAAUCCAAAUCGCCACUCCAGAGAGGUUUCCUUGAACCCUGGCACAAAUACAAAAUUAAUUUCCCAACUAAAACUCCAAUAUUUAAACAAAAUAGGCAAAAUUAACCGAGAGCCAUAACUACGCUCAUCAUUGCCUAACUUCAAUAUUCUUAAAUCGAAACGAUCCGAACUUAAAUAUCAUACUCGGCAGCCGUAAUUACAACCUCCCCAAAAAUACGACUUCGGAAAUUCAUAAACCUAUCCAAAACUCAUACAAAAAUUUCAUAACUCACUUCAACAAACUCCCCUUAAUAUUCUAAAUUUAAAACCCUAAAAAUCUUCCAAACAGUGGCGGCGGCUCCGCCGGUAGCGGCGGCCGGAGGCCGAUUCCGGCGACCUCCAAAUCCUACCAAAUUUUAACAGUAGCUUCCUCUCCACUCCCUCUACAACUUUCCUAACUAGCACAAACCCAAAAUCCAAGCCUAACUAGGUCAAACGAGCAAAAACAUCUAAAACACCCUAGAACUUCCACCUCUAAUUUCUCCUUACCUGAAGCGAACCGGAGUGAGCCCUUUUAGGGCAAGGCAGCUGGGUUGGAGACCUUCAAAACCGUACCAAGCUUGCCCGGAUUGGUGGCCGGAGGAGGGAGUUCCGGCGAAGUGAAGCUUUGGACAGUCGGACCUUUAGGGGGAGAGCACUCUUUCACGACGGAGCUAGGGAAGCUGCUACCGAUCCAGGGAGGUAGCUGGGAUGAUGGCCUACCGAACGGGACCGGUGCGGUAGNNNNNNNNNNNNNNNNNNNNAGCAGUACCCACAAACAUCUUUUAUUAGUAAGAUUUACCAGAUUCAAAAAUAAAAAAUUUGACCUUUGCUGCUGCAUUAUGAGAAAUAUGCAAGUUUUCUGUUAUGUAAUAAUCGUUGUAAGCAAAUGUUAAUAUGCUAUGCUUCUUCAGUAUAACACCAUAUAGGAGUCAGUUUCAUACACGCAAUUUAGUGUUUGGUUAGUUAGACAUUUGAUUAUGUCAAAGCUCUUUCAUAAAUUUGGUUAUCAUCAAUUGUAUUAGUUCUGCGCCCAAAUCAUAUUUACACUUUCUAUUGCUUUGCUAAUGCAAUUAUAUAUUAAUACUAAUAUUUCUUUUCUGUGCUUGAUUAAUACUUCUAUCUAAUGAUCUGAUAUGUGUUUCUCAUAUGUGAUUUGAACUUGAUUUGCUCUAAGAGCUGUGACAGUUUAUUUGAUGAUUUCAUUAGCAUAUUACAUCUAUCAGUAAUAUAUGUAUAGGUUUCUUUGGUUAUCAUUUUCAGUCAGUUCCAAGGCCUUUGUUUGAUUUCAUUAUUCUCCAGCUUUUAGAGUUAGGUCUGUGUGUUUAAACUUAAGGCAAGAACAAAACCUGCAAAUCUGAAACAUUGUUUCUGAAAUUCUGCAUCAGUUAGCUUUCAUUUGAAAACAGUACAAUUUCAUUUGGAAUUUGAAGUUGGUUUCUUCAAGAGAUUUGUAGUAGACAUCUUAAGGUUCAUUCCAAAUUUUGAAUCACUUGAAAACGAUUUGGAAGAUGAAAUUAUGAUUUUUCAAAGUUUAGGGUCUGCAUCAGGAAAUUUUGCAGAUCAGUGUUUCUGAGAUUUUGACCAGUUCCCUUUCUUUCAGAAAAUUGUAUAAAUUGGUUAGUUGUUUGAACUUGGUGUCUUCAUGAAAGUUUGACUAGAGACCUUAAUGAUCGUUUUAGAACUGGAAUCUCUUGAAAAUAAGUUUUCUAGAAUUAGUUAUGAUUUUCCAAAGUUACAGCUCAUUUGCAUUUUUUUUUUGAAAGUUACAGCUCAGUUUGAGCAUAGCUUAGCAAGUACAUGUCUUGAGGACAGUAAUGCAGUCUUAUAUAUCAGCACUUCUUUAUAUUGUAUGUAUAUGAGCAAGUACUUGUUUUGUGUGAUUUAUAUAUUUGUGUUGUUGUAUAUUUAUAUAAUGCAGGUUCUGGAAGCAAAAGAUGUUUAUAAAGAUAAAGAAAAGCAUACUUGUCUACACCCAAUAUGAUUUGGAUGUGUUAAGGAAGGAGUGGGCAAAGUUCAUCAUCAGCAAAUACCUGUAGGGUGCAUGAUCUGGUCUGUUUUGGUGAACUUGUGCUUUCUAUAUGUAUGUGGUAGUACUUUGCUUUUGAACUUGGUGUUUCUAUAUAUUCGGAACAUCUAUAUGGUAGUACGUACUUUGUGCAUUUCUCAUGUUGGAAUGUUUUUGGAUAUGUAAGACUAUCUAGGAGCUUAGCUAGUUGCUUAUUUUCAGUUUAUUAUUCAGCUGUAAUAUUGUUUGUGUCACAUCCCGACUUUUAUAUUUUUUUUACCUUAUUUACUAGCGUGUUUAUAAUAAGAAGUUUACCGUCUCCAUCAUUGAGUUAAUAGUUUAAUUGGUUCCCAGAGGGGUUUCGGGGACGAUUAUUCGUAGGAGGAAAAUAUGGCGACGGUAAAAAUGGUAAAUUUUAGCUAGUAAAAGGUAAUUUUUAUUUGGGUAUUAUUUUUUCGAGGUGUUUUAUUUUUGAGUUGGAUUGUUAUAAGAUUGGACCGGUUUGGGGUGUGAGGCCCAAAUCCAUUUUCUAUCCUCUCUUUUUUCUUCCUGGUUUCCCUCUUCCCCGAGUCUCCCGCUGCUCGGUUUUCCGGCUGUCUUUCCGCCGUCGUCCGGCCGCCGUUCGCCGCCCCUCCGGUCCCAUUCGGUUGCCCUCCGACCCAGCUACAUCCCUGGACCGGUGACAGCCACCCUAGCGCUGCCAUGAAAGAGUUCUCCCGCCUAGAACCUCGAGCAGCCCAAAGUCCUCCAUCGCCGGAACUCCCUCCUCCGGGCACAAAUCUGGGCAAGCUUGGUAUGGUUUUGUAGGUCUCCAACCCAGCUGCCUUGCCCUAAAAGGACUCACUCCGGUUUGCUUCAGGUAAGGAGAAAUUUGAGGUGGAAGCUCUAGGGCGUUUUUGAUGUUUUUGUUCGAUUGGCAUAGCUAGGCUUGGAUUUUGGGUUUGUGCUAGUUAGGAAAGUUGUAGAGCAUGAUGAGAGGAAGAUGCUGUUAAAAUUUCAUAGGAAUUGGAGGUCACCGGAAUCGGCUCCGGCCACCGCUGCCGGCGGAGCCGGCGCCGGCGCCGGAGCUGUUUGGGAGAUUUUAAUGUUUUUAGAUUUGGAAUAUUAAGGGGAGUUUAUUGAAGUGAGUUAUGGAAUUUUUGGAUGAGUUUUGGAUAGGUUUGUGAAUUUCCGAAAUUUGGUAUUUUUGGCUGUUAAUUAAUGUAGAAUCCGGCCGUAGGAUUUAAGUCGUAUUCUGUGGGAAGUUGUUUUUUCGGCUGCCGGUAUGUUCGGCGAAGUUUGAGCCGUAUUGAGUUAAGAAUGGCAAAUUUGGGCAAUGAUGAGUGUGUGGGAGGCUCACGUUUAAUUUUGCCCAUUUUGUUUAAAUAUUGGAUUUUUGGUGGGAAAUUAAUUAUAUAUUUGGAACAGGACGAGAGGAGGCCCGAGCAGAGGAAGCCUCGGAGCGUCAUCAGGCUUAGGCCUAAUUAGUGAGUGGACCUUUAUUUUAAUUGAAAAGCAUGCAAUGAAUUAUCUGUUGAUCAUGUAUUUCUUUUCCUGAAAUUUAUUUCUUUCUCGGAUAUUUGACAAUUUUCCUCCUUUGGAGAGAUCCCGAAAAUGAGAUUUUCGGUGGAUAUGUUUAUUGGAUGUUUAUGAUGAUAGUAUGUAUAUAUAAAUGCUAGCUAGCCAUACGUGUUUGAUCCGCCAUAAUGAGGUAAAUACCAUUAUGGUGUGACGUGAGUGUUAGACACAAGCGUAGUAGCCCUAUAUGAAACUUAUUUCUUAUUUGGUUUAUUUAGGNNNNNNNNNNNNNNNNNNNNAGCACUUAAUCCGGAAUGACAACUGCAUCAGUAUUGCACUCCCGUGACAGGAGCUAAUGCCAUUGAGGUUCAUGGCCAAAUCCUCACCUUGCAUGGAGGAACCCUGCGACCUCCCCCCCCCCCCCCCCCCGUCAACCUUCUGCAAAAACCCUUUAGAAAUCCAUGAAAGACAGAGAGGUGUCACCACCACCCCAUCAGCAUGGGACCAGGUCUCAUUUCAUAAGAAGGAAGAUACAAUAAGUUGCCAUCACAAUGAGCCGUUCAUAAUCAAAUGUCCAAGUGGACUACAGGUGCCACAGAGCCCUUGUGGACACAGGGCUGUAGUCAGUGUAAUGUUUGCAUAUUGCUACAGAGGACUCCAGCGUGACCGGGCUAAGUUGUACAAUAACCAUGAUCCUCUUGUCAGCUUCUCGGGCGAGAUUGUACAACCCUUAGGCUCAGACCGCUUGACAGUUUCAGUAAGAACCAAUCCCUGUCGUGCUUCCAUCACGGCACGCUUCCUCAUAGUCGAUUGCCCCUCGUCCUAUAACCUCAUUUUGGGUCGCGACAUCAUCUGGGGACUACAAUGCUUCAUUGCAAUCCACAUGCUACUCAUGAAAGUGCCUACCCCGGGAGGCAUACUCACAAUCCAGGGGGAUAGAGUCGCCAUAAAACAUUGUCACCUUAAUGCCGUUCAGCAAAGACGUGGGGCCAAUGAGAUGUUGCCACUCAGUCCCUCGGAACCCAUUGGUGAUCCCCGGGACGACCUUGAAGGGAAAGAAAAGAAGAAGCAAGUCCCGAGACCUAAGCUGGCAGAGGAAACAGAGUGGGUAUCCCUAUCACCUAGCACUCCCGAGAGGAAAGUCCGCAUUGGCACUAACCUCAAACCGGAAAUCCACCAAAAGCUCAUUACCUUCCUCCAGGAUAAACAAGCAGUCUUUGCUUGGUCCUAUGCCGACAUGCCAGACAUUUCCCCUGAUAUCAUCACACACAAGCUCAAAGACUAUCCCUCUGUCAACCAAAAAAGGCGUGCCUUUAAUCCAGAAAAGUAUCGGGCUAUCCAAGCCGAGGUCCAGCGGCUAAAAGAGAUUAAGUUCAUAUGUGAGGUUUCCUACCCAACAUGGGUCUCCAAUGUAGUCAUGGUCCCCAAGCCUAAUGGCAAGUGGCGAAUGUGUGUUGACUACACUAACCUCAACAAAGCAUGCCCCAUAGAUAGUUUCCCCUUACCACGGAUUGACCAGUUGGUUGAUUCCACAGCUGGCUACAAGAUGCUUAGCUUUUUGGACGCCUACUCGGGAUAUAACCAAAUCAAAAUGUACCCCACAGAUCAGGAACACACUACUUUUGUUACGAACAAGGGAUUAUAUUGUUACGGGGUCAUGCCCUUUGGCCUCAAGAACGCAGGAGCAACCUACCAACGAUUAGUCAAUGCCAUGUUUGAAGAAGAAAUUAGGGAAGUCAUGGAAGUAUAUGUGGACAACAUGCUGGUCAAAAGCAAGACGGAUGAUGACCACAUUGCCAAUUUAGACAAGGUUUUCACAAAGCUUCUAGCUCAUGGGAUGCGCCUCAACCCACAAAAGUGUAUUUUAGCUGUUGGCAGAGGAAAGCUUUUGGGUUUCAUGGUCAGUGAAAGAGGAAUUGAAGCUAACCUAGAAAAAAUACAGGCCAUACGUGAUAUGAUUGUCCCGGCCACCUGGAACAAGGUCCAGUGCCUCAUGGGACGCUUGGUUGCUCUGGCUCGAUUCAUCUCUCGCCUCACAUACAAGUGCAACCCAUUCUUUCAAUUGGUGAAAACCCAAUAUAAGGAAGAUGUCGCAUGGGGCCCGGAACAUGAUGAUGCCUUCAAUAACAUCAAAGCUUACCUUGCAGCAGUUCCUCUCUUAUAAAAGCCUGUCCCAAGAGAAGUAUUAUACUUAUAUUUGGCUGUUUCUGCUACAGCCAUUAGCGUUGCUCUCACACGCCAUGAGCAUGACAAUGAGCUCCCAGUAUAUUAUUGUGGCAGAGGUUUUGCAGAUCCCGAGACUCGCUACCCUGACAUUAAGAAGUUAGGUCUAGCCCUCAUCACUGCAGCGAGAAAACUCAGGCAAUAUUUCCAAGCUCACACCAUCCUAACCAACCACUCUUUGCGGCAAAUACUCCAAAAGCCUGAAACUUCAAGACACCUAGUGAAAUGGGCAAUUGAGCUGGGUGAAUUUGACAUACAUUUCAAGCCAAGAACAGCAAUAAAGGGACAGGCAGCUGCAGAUUUCAUUGCCGAGUUCAUUCCCCUAGAUCAUGACAGCCCAAAUACAAACGCCCCUCCCCCCCCCCGACGAUGCUAUCUGGGAACUCCAUGUUGACGGAUCCUCAAACAACAGGCUAAGUAGGGCAGGAAUAAUCAUCACAAACCCAGAGGGACAUUCAUACGAGUAUGCUCUCCGGUUUGAGUUCAAAGCAUCCAACAACAUAGCUGAAUACGAGGCCCUGAUAGCAGGCAUCCAGCUCUGUCGAGAACUCAAAGCCCUACAUAUUCACAUAUUCAGUGACUCUCAGCUUGUACUCAAUCAAGUGGCACGAGACUUCAAGGCCAACCAGAAUAACUUGGGAUCCUACAAAACUCUAACAGGACCUCCUGCAACACUUCACAUCUUAUAAACUCACACAAAUCCCCAAGACCAAGAACUCCAAGGCAGACGCCCUUGCGAGACUCGCCACAGCUCCUCCUGAGUCCACGCCACCAGAUGUGCACAUAGAAAUCUUGGACAAGUCUAGUAUCUCGAAAGCUUAUUCAUAAAUCUUUGCUCUUGAGACAACUAGCCAGCCCUCAUGGAUGUACCCAUAUGUUGACUUCCUCGCUAAUGGUACCCUGCCCUAGGACAAAAGAGAAGCACAGCGGUUACGCCACAAGGCUUCAUUUUACCUACUCAAAGGUGCAAGCUAUACCGUCGUGGUUAGUCAUGUCCAUUCUUGAAGUGUUUGCCCACAGAGGAAGGGCACAAAGUGUUGAAGUCACUUCAUAGCGGCAUUUGUGGAAACCAUGCGGGUGCUCGGAACCUCAUGUUCAUGGCACUCAGAGCUGGGUAUUAUUGGCCAACAUUAGAGCAAGAUACAAAGGCAGUUGUCAAAGCAUGCCUUCAAUGCCAAAAAUUUGGCAAUUUUGCUCAUCACCUACCAGUGCCACUGUCUGUCAUCAUCUCCCCAGUCCCUUUCAGUCAGUAGGGACUCGAUUUUGUGAGACGGCUACCCAUAGCCCUGGGACAACUCAAAUUUGCAAUAGUCGUUAUAGACUACAACACGAAAUGGAUAGAGGCAAAACCCCUUGCCACAAUGACAACAGAAAAGGUGAUAAACUUCCUAUGGCAUAAUCUAUACUGCCGGUUUGGGGUACCACAUGCCAUCAUCACGGAUAAUGGGACACAUUUUGAAAACGACACCUUCAGAGAAUUCUUGUUCGAACAAGGAACCACAAUCUUCUAUGCCUCCCCAGCACACCCUCAGACCAAUGGCCAGAUGGAAGCCAUAAACAAACUCAUUAAGCAAAACUUGAGGAAACGCCUGGAAGAUGCCAAAGGGUUGUGGGCCGCCAAGCUCCCGGAGGUCCUCUGGACACUUCGUACCACCCCAACAACAGCUACAGGUGAAUCUCCAUAUCUCUUGUCCUAUAGCACUGAGGCAAUGAUUCCUGUAGAAAUGGAAGUCCCAAGUGAACGUGUCAUGGCGUACAAUCCCGAGAAGAACGGCACAGGAUUGCGACUUAACAUGGACCACCUAGAGGAGCGCUGAGAUAGAGCACAUCUCAGGAAUUCCAACAAUAAGCAAAAGAUUGCUCAACACUACAACAAGAAAGUUGUUCCCGCCCCCUGAAGGUAGGUGAUUGGGUCAUGAAGGAAGUCAUUCCCCACCCCACUGGACUCAAGGCAAAGUGGGAAGGCCCACUGAAGAUAGUUAAUGCCCCGGGACUAGAUACAUUUUAUCUCCGAGAUACUGAUGGCCGCGUAUACCCCGCCCCUGGAAUGCUCGCCACCUCCACCUCUACCCCUUUUAAAUUAUUAGUCCCAAGACCCGGCACAGUAGCUAACACUUCAUCAUUUUGUGUUCUUCAGCCCGUUAGCGGCUCAAAUCAAAUGUACACUUUGCCUGUUAGCGGCCUACCCUAAAUGAAGAUGCUAUGUUUUCUCAUCAUUUUUCAACAUGCUGUAUCAAGAACACGGAACAAAAAAAAACACACAACCACAAACAAAAACAUUCAUUUAAGUAAACAAGAAAUACCACCAAGUAUCAGCUUGGACUCCUAGGCAAGUCAUAACCAACAAAUUGUUCAAAUGGCUAACCACGCCACCAAUAUUGUUUCACAAACAAACAAACAAAAAAAUUGAAACCUAACCGAACAAAUUACAAAGUGAAAAUAAUCAUUUCUCCCCAAAGGAUGCACCACCAGACUUAUUCACACUGCUACCACUCCUCGAGUUGCUCCCACACCCGCGACUUUGACUAAUGUUCACUGACACCCUCUAUCCAUAAGCAUGCUUAGAACGGUCACGUGACGUAGGUGGAGGCCUCACUGAAACAUUAGGACGCACCAAGGAGCUCACUUGUUGCGCUUCAGUGACAGGAGACUUGCUCGUUGGAGUCUUUGGCACUUCAGAACGCUGCGGCGCCACGAGUCCAGGUGCUCGAGGGUUAGUGGGUUCAAUAACAGAAGAUGCAACCUGCGACACUACCACUUGAGUGGAAAGGGACCCCUCGGGACACGGAGCCCUUAGUGGUGAAGCAGCAGCAGUCGCGAGAGGCCAAGGCGUGCCCACAGCAGGAACUUCCUUCGGGACAACAGGUGACGAAGCACGCCAAGCCUCAUGAUGUUUUUCCAACGACUGCGAGAUCUCGGCUUGCUUCUUCUGCUUUGGUGUCAUCUGCUCCUAAGUCUUCUUUACAGCAUCCCUAUUGGCAUACCACUUGCGCAUGGCCGCUUCGUUUAUCCAGCCAGCUUGGAAACCAGUCUUGCUCAACUCAUCCUGUCCCUGGUUAUAAGUGCUCCUCAGCUGCUGCUUAUACACUUCACUCUCCCGGAACACCCUUUCCCCAGCCCCGGCAGCCCUUGCACACUUCAACUUCCAAGCCUUCUCUUGCUCCACCAAGGCCUGCGUGAACCUCGUCACCUCGGCUUCCUGGGACACUACCUUGGCAAUGGCCACCUCCCCAGCUUCCACUUGCUUGUUCUUCUCCUACACAGCUUCCUUCAACUCAGCAACCUCCUUCCCGGAUGCAGCAGCCUGGUCUCGGAAGACAGCAACAUCUUGCUCCAGCUGCUCAAGACGUUACGAGAGGGCGCGGUUAUUCUCCUCCGCCUCCUUCAACUACUGACAUUUGGUUUCAGCAUGCUCCUACAAGUGAGUAACAGCCCUCUCACUCUCAGCAUACAUCAGCAACGUCGCCUGCAGACAACACCAAAACAUAAACAAAGCGACAGGGAACGAAAAUGAGCAAAUUGAACGCUACGAACACUUACCCGAGUUAACUUCUCCUUGGUGAGAGCCACACCAGCCAAGGGAUCAACCUCCUCCAAGGCAUGGAUGUCGCGAGAGCGGUGACGCAUGUCAUACGCCAUCUAUGCUAAGUAAGGCUGCACCUCCCUGGUCCCCUCUAAUGUUUGGGUGAUCUCAGCCAAACUCUCGGAGCUCUCGGAACGCCCUUCCUUGAGCAACCUCUUCGGUUGACCUUCACGCGACGACUCGACCCUCUCCUUCCUCUUCCGAGUCCUUAUCAUAACAACCUCCUCUGACCCCUGCACAAUGGGUUCCACCUCCUCAAUCACAAAGUCUUCAUCGCCAGUUUGGUGGCCAUCCACGUUCCCCAAAGAUGCAUCCUCCAUUCCCAUCGACUCUGAAACUAAUUCCUCCUCCCCUACAAGGACUUGAUCCUGGUUGCCAUCAUGGUCGCCAUCCUCGAUUUCAGUGUCUUCAACAUUCACCUCUUGGUCGCCUAAGCCCAUUGCUUUUGCCACCAAGGGAGGCAAAUAGGCAUAGUCCUCGUCCGCCAACUUCAACCUCAAAAAAUCGUCCUCACCCUCAUCAAACUCCGCCUCUUUCCCUUCGCCAGUCUCCAAGUCGAUAUCGUACCGCUUGGCAUGGUCAGCCUCGGCACACAGCCCAUCCAGUACAUCCUCGUCCGAGACCCUACCAUAGGGACCUUCCUUCUUCCGUGACCCACCAUCUCGAGGCAUCGUCACUACACUAGACAAAAAAUAAGGGUCAAGCACAGAAGAAAGCACAAAAUAGGAAAACAGUCAAAAACAAAAAUACAGAGCCGGGACCUGGGCGUAACCGAGCUGACUAUAUAUGCCAAGGCGGCAUAUUCGGUACGAGCUCCUAGACUCAAAUGCCCAUAGCACCCGGCGUAUACGACGCUCCAUCAGCUCGUUUAGCUUAUACUCUUGGGGCACUACACAAAAUCAGAAGUCAACAAGGGUAGUACAGUACAAGUAGUAAGAAAACAUGAGACACAAAACACGGUACCUAUUUUUUG
RNAcentral lists this long non-coding RNA (16970 nucleotides) under Fragaria vesca (wild strawberry). Its description in RNAcentral is "long non-coding RNA (FVES_LNC001674)". Lineage: Eukaryota; Viridiplantae; Streptophyta; Magnoliopsida; Rosales; Rosaceae. The record is from RNAcentral.